GAUGAACGCUGGCGGCGUGCUUAACACAUGCAAGUCGAACGGAAAGGCCCAAGCUUGCUUGGGUACUCGAGUGGCGAACGGGUGAGUAACACGUGGGUGAUCUGCCCUGCACUUCGGGAUAAGCCUGGGAAACUGGGUCUAAUACCGGAUAGGACGAUGGUUUGGAUGCCAUUGUGGAAAGUUUUUUCGGUGUGGGAUGAGCUCGCGGCCUAUCAGCUUGUUGGUGGGGUAAUGGCCUACCAAGGCGUCGACGGGUAGCCGGCCUGAGAGGGUGUACGGCGACAUUGGGACUGAGAUACGGCCCAGACUCCUACGGGAGGCAGCAGUGGGGAAUAUUGCACAAUGGGCGCAAGCCUGAGGCAGCGACGCCGCGUGGGGGAUGACGGCCUUCGGGUUGUAAACUCCUGUCGCUAGGGACGAAGCGUUUUUGUGACGGUACCUGGAGAAGAAGCACCGGCUAACUACGUG
Molecule: ribosomal RNA, 468 nt
Filed under: uncultured bacterium
Lineage: Bacteria
Description: partial 16S ribosomal RNA
Rfam family: Bacterial small subunit ribosomal RNA
Source: RNAcentral